GAACGGUAUCUCGUUGUACGUGCUGGUAGCAUGUUGAUCAACAGUGCAGUGUUAAUGUUAUUUAUAAUUAUCGUCAGACGUGUGAUAUAUGCACUUAUUUGAGCGUAGUCGGGAAACGGAUGGGACACUGAGUAAUUUUCCGUGUUUUCUUAUGUUUUCUUAUGCCGCUGUUCGGCAGUUGGUAUGCGUGCCAACGUCAAGUGAGGACGAAGACAGGAGCACGUACCUCGGGGAUGCGGUUGCGCCGGAAGUGGGCCCAUCUCGAUGCAGACGGCUUCGGUGUGGAGAGACGAGGGUCCGCUGGCGGUGGUGGACACCUUGGCGCAGGCGUAGUUGAAGUACUGCGAGGGAUCCUCCGGGGACAGGCCCCCGGCGUCCGCCAGGACGGAGUGCUCCACCGUGUCGAUGUGGUCGCUGGAGGGGUGCAGCAGCAACGCCUGCAGGGACACAUAUAUAAUACAGCGGGUGGACGUCCAACGCAUAUAUGUACCUCGCUGGCGUCCACAUGAUCGGCGGCCCGGUCAUGAUGAAUGUGCCCGGACAGGCUGUCCAGCGGCCGUCGGGCCACCACCACCGGGACGGCGUCCAUCUCCGAAUCCGAUGAUUGCAGUGGUGUACGCAAGUUCCGUUGGUAUCGGGAGUACAACAAACCGGUUAAUACCAGGAUAAACGAUGUAACUUCUGCUAACUGAAUGGAAGAUUGGCACGCUCUCCUUCCUCCAAAUCAAAAUAUGGGAGCUGCAAAGAACAGGCACGCAGACGAACACGAAAAUUAAUACCAUCCCCGCUUCGGAACGUUUCUUGCGCAAAGCUGUGAGAAGGAGGAGAGCCGCAUAUAUAAACAGAUACCGUACCUUAAUAUACCAGCGUCUUUAUCCAGCGUGUUGGGGAGUAUUGAAUGUCCCGUUAAAAGAAAAUAUUGUUAUUUGCGCAACGUUGUGCCGUUGCGCUGUCUUACGCUUAGAGUUUCGCACGUUUUAAAAUGCAAGUACCGUGUGCUGCGCUGUACAUGGUGCUACGUAUACCGUGUAUGCCUUGAUGAUGCUGAUUGCUGUGUUUUCCAUCCGAUCAUGUGCUGCGCCAACCAGUGUAAACACGUCUGUCGUGCCGCAGCGGUCUUGUUGAGCACUACAACGAUAGCUGAUAUGAAUCGCUGUGUUGAACGGAACGGGUUCCGCCGGUUAUUAGCUUGCCAUUUUCCCUCGUAGCGCGACACACCACUGCAUUUCAAAAGAUGGAUUGUAUUGCUUGUGAUAUGUAUAGCGUCAGCUUCUUGUUAUUCACGGCCGGAAGCUUAUUAAACGCCACAGCCGGCAUUCAUAAU
This is a long non-coding RNA of Paramacrobiotus metropolitanus, 1324 nucleotides long. RefSeq lists it as uncharacterized. NCBI's taxonomy places the organism in Eukaryota, Metazoa, Tardigrada, Eutardigrada, Parachela, Macrobiotidae. The transcript is spliced from 3 exons. The record is from RefSeq and is a predicted model, not a curated record.